GUCAUAAAAGGCAUCGUGAGCAGUACGUUGGCAAAGUUUUGGGUGAGGACAGCUGUGUUUGUGUACUGUUGGUGUUUGGCCCUCCUUUAAUAAUAUUUUAAAGGCAUUUUUUUUAUUGUUUUUGUUUUGAGAGGAAAAAACAUCUGCUUGGUGUUUUUUUGUUGUUUUUUUUUUUUUUUUUACUUUUUAAAGAAGUUAACGACAGAGACGAAGACUUUUUUUUUUUCUUAUGUUUUUUCUUCAGUCGGACAUGUGUAUUAAAACGAUGGCUACUAAGCGGUUAAAUACAGUCCGUCUACGGAAAAGCAUGAAGUUUGGCUCUACGUUAAGGUGGCGGCCUUUCCGUGUAUCGGCGGAGGAGGAGGGAGAGGCCCUCAAACCAAAUCGAACCCCGACGGUGAAGGCGACCGUCCGAAAAUACCCCCGCCGGGAACAUAGGCGGACACAGCAAGACAAGCUAUUCGGACUGUGGAGACACAAGGCUGGGGAGGAGAAAAGAGACUUCUUGAAUGAGGAAAGUCCCGCUACCGCCUGUGUGCACCGUCAUCCAGCCGGAGCAAUGGCGCCGGAAAACACCACGCAGUACCUGAUGGGAAACGUGUAUGAAGACUUUAAGAUUGACAUUAACCAGUCGGUCCGAGCUUCACACGAAGAAGCUGUGCAGCAGUUUAGCGAGCGUGUUGCUCUGGACUCUGAGUGCUACCUUGCUUUUCAGCAGAGGAACUUUGAGGAGGCCUUUGAAAUGUUUUGGUAACCGGAACGAACUUCCUUAAAGUGGUCCGGCUCCUUCAGCAGCCCUGAGUUAAUUCAGCACAUUUUAAAGCGGCGCGCCUUUGCACGCUGCCCGCCAGGGAGCGCUCCCGAGCCCUGCACGGCGCCGCCUGGGGGUUGGGACCGACCAAACGAACCUCUGCUCGGCUCUGGUCUCUUCACGGAUUGUGAAAUCCAGGUAAACCCGGGAAGGUAUUGUUAGCAAUGCAUUGUCAUUGAUGGCAGUAGUGGAUGGUGAUUGGAUGUUGGGGCUUUCCAGAGUCACUGUUGUCUGAGCGUUUUCCAGGUCACCCCUGCUAGGACACGUGGCUCAGCUGUAGGAGGAGCAGGGAGCAAAGGAGGUCGGUCUUCACGUGACUGGCAAGGUGACACUUGAAACAAACUGUCAGAGGAUAAUUGUGAUAAUUGUUUAUGUAUGUCCAUUUUAAUGUUAAUUAUUGUAUUUAAACUUUGAUCGCAAAGUGGUGAAUAUGGAGUUUAAUCUUAUAAUAAAUUCUGUUAUGUUUGGAAA
Molecule: long non-coding RNA, 1282 nt
Organism: Archocentrus centrarchus (flier cichlid)
Lineage: Eukaryota; Metazoa; Chordata; Actinopteri; Cichliformes; Cichlidae
Exons: 2
Source: RefSeq, a predicted model, not a curated record